Chelonia mydas (Green sea turtle) is the source of this 6525-nucleotide long non-coding RNA. RefSeq lists it as uncharacterized. The record is from RefSeq and is a predicted model, not a curated record. The transcript is spliced from 3 exons. Lineage: Eukaryota; Metazoa; Chordata; Testudines; Cheloniidae.
GUCGCUCACUGCACGCACGCACCUCCCGCCCCUCUCUCCUUCAGAGACAAGGAAGUCCAGGCAGUGAGUGAGUGACCGCUGCACGCGUGGAGGCUCCUCUCUCUCUCUUUGCAAACAUCAGACGCUCUGUCGCCUCCAAAUGCCUGCCAUGCAAUGCAGUGUGAAGAAUUGAUGGCCCCUGCUGAGUGAAAACAAGAAGGAGUCCUUGUGGCACCUUAGAGCCUAACAACUUUAUUUGGGCAUAAGCUUUCAUGGGCUAAAACCCACUUCAUCAGAUGUAUGGAGUGGAAAAUACAGUAGCAGGUAUAUAUACACAGUAUAUGAAAAGAGGUGAGUUGCCUUACCAAGGGAGGGGGGAGUCAGUGCUAAAGAGACAAUUCAAUUAAAGUGAGCUAUUCUCAAUAGUAGAAUACCAAGGGAGGAAAAAUACUUUUGUGGUGGUAAUGAGAGUGGCCCAUUUCAAACAGUUGACAAAAAGGUUAACAGUAGAGGGAAAUUAGUAUGGGGAAAUUAGUUUUUGUAAUGACCUAUCCACUCCCAGUCUUUAUUCAGGCCUAAUUUGAUGGUGUCCAGUUUGCAAAUUAAUUCCAGUUCUGCAGUUUCUUGUUGGAGUCUGUUUUUGAAGGGAGUUUUUUUGUUGAAGAAUUGCCACUUUUAAGUCUGUUAUUGAGUGACCAGGGAGGUUGAAGUGUAUUUUCUACUCCAUGCAUCUGAUGGAGUGGGUUUUAGCCCACGAAAGCUUAUGCCCAAAUAAAUUUGUUAGUCUCUAAGGUGCCACAAGGACUCCUUCUUGUUUUUGCUGAUACAGACUAACACGGCUACCGCUGUGAAACCUGCUGAGUGGUCACUGUAAGCAACGGAUGGCGGAUUCUUUUAUUGCAUUGCACUUUUAAAAUAACAAACUGUAAGAGACCAGCUGCCUUGGUCUUGCAAUAAGCUUGUGAAUUUUUAUAUUGUUUUUUUUGAAAUGAUCAAACAAAAAUCAAUUAAAACUGAAAGUGCUGUUCUAGCUGAAGAAUAAAUAGGUUUGUAUAUGCUGCAUUAGUACUUCGAGAGGGGAAUCUUUAUGGGACUUAACAACAUAGGACAUGCAAAGAGCAGCCCAGGAUAGACAAGGAAGGUGGAGGCUUGUUUGUGCCCUAAGUGAAUUUUGACAGUGUGGGAAGGAUUCGGAGUCAGAUGUAUGUAGAAGAUAUGUUUUCUUACAUUUCUCUUAAAAGACUAUUACAGUACAAAAAAGUACAUACACACACAUAUGUAGUAGAUAAAGCAGUGUGCCAUAUGGCUCAUCUUGUACAAAGCUGUUGAGUGCUCUUAUAAAUAUUUUACUAGCCCAGCCAUUCUCAAGCUGUGGCUAGCUCUCAGGUGAGUUUCCAGCAGCUGUCUGAGGUGUGUGUGUUGGUGGGAGGGGAGAGCAUAAGCUCCUUCUAAUCACUGUCCUCAUUUCCCAGUGUUUGCCCAGCCAUUGGCAAAUAGGUCUCCUCUAAUUCCAGAAUUAGCUGCAAGUCAGUACGUAGGGAUAAGGCACACUGUGUCUGAUUUACCUGGACUGAAAACAAGAAUGAAGGAGUCCAGACUGCCAUUUGUAGAAAAUUUGGGGUAAUAUUACUGAAUAAACAGAUUGUGAGAUGAGAGGGUUCAGGUUUGAAAUUAAGAGUGUGGGAAUGCAGAACAUUGACUGAGAGAGAAAAACCAUAACAGCAGAUGCAGGAAAGGCUGCAAAGUGAAAAUAUCUCACUUGGGUUUCUUUCAAGGGAAAUUUUACAACUGCAGAUUAAAAUAUAAUAGUUUCCACCCAAAAACUACAUAGGAAGUGAUCCAUCACCUAUGGAAGUCAAUGGAAAUACUGCUAUUGACUUCAGUGGUCACAGGAUCAGGCCCGUAUUCCCUAUAAUCCUAACCUAGAUGUCACAAAUGUCCUUAGGCCUCAGAUUUGAUCUUGACUCUACAAUUGAUGGGUAAAAUGAAAAAUAAAGGCUUGUCUACACAAGAAACUUUUACCAAAUAUACCAGGAAAAUUAUACCAGUAUUGUUAAACCAAUAUAUUUGUACUGAUAUAACCCCCCAUAUAGACACUCUUAUCCCAGCACAAGAGUGGCUUUUUCUGGGUUAGUUUAAACCUCUUCCGAAGCAAUAUAAGCUAAAAUGAAAAAUGGCACUCUUAUAUCAGAAUAAGAAUAAGGGGUCCACAUAGGGGGUUAUACAGGAAUUACUGUAUCAGUUUAAAUUCACAUCUGAUACCACUAUAAGUUUCCCAUGUAGACAAGCCCUAAGACAGAGCCAUCCAUUUCCUCUGGCUCUGUUUCUGGAGCAGAGGUGCAAAGCCAAUAAGAAGUGAAUUGUGUCUGAUUUAUGCUUUAUAUUUCUAUAACUAUUUAAACAUAACAUCAUUAUUACACAUUUUCUUUUUAAAUAGUAAUCAGAGUGGUUUUCUCAUUAACUAAUCACUAUUUGCAGUCUUUUCCCAGCACAGAGGGAAAAGAUCAGUAAAGAAGAAAGAAGUUUAGAGACUGAAGACAAGAGGAAAAAAUCAGUCAUGAACCCGACAAAAUCAAAUACCUGAUUUAUUAGGGAAUGCAUGUGGAGCCAGAUGUUGACGUUAGUCAUGCUUUGCAGCAGCCUAACAAGAUAUCAGCUGAAGUACAAUAAAGGCAUAACAACUGAUUAAGGUGGAAACACAGGACUGGAUACCUCAAACUCUUGAGUCACGUAAGUAACCUUGCUGAUUUCAGUGUGAGCUGCAGAUGUUCAGCACUUGUGAAAAUCAGGCUGUUUUUCUUCCAGCUGCCUAAGUAUGGAGUCAAGGCCCUAAAUUUAGGCCCCUUAGAAGUCAAUCUGCAACUGUUGGCCUAAGGGCUCAGACUUGGAUCCACAAAAGUGACUUAGGCACCUAACUUUUAGGCAUCUAGAAAAUAACAGGAACAAUGCUGUGAACCACAAAACUAGUAUCAGAGGGGUAGCCAUGUUAGUCUGGAUCUGUAAAAGCAGCAAAGAGUCCUGUGGCACCUUAUAGACGAACAGACAUAUAUUAGGUGGGGAAGCCACCUAAACUAGCCAAUGGGAGAUGUAGAGAGAAGUGUGUGUCAUAAGCCCUGCCCCUUUCUCAGAGAUAGGUACCUAAGUCCGGGCUGCAGGGAGGAACCUAUCUCAGGUGGUGAUCUAUGAACGAGGGGAAGAUAAGCACACCUCCGCUUAGUUUGCCUUUGAGGUCAAUCCAGUAGGCAUUCAGAGGCCACCUAACUCCAGCAGGUAAGGAGGAAGAGACCCUCUAUUUUAGCCAGUGGUGAAAGCACUCACCCAGCAUGUGGGAGACCGCGAUUCAACUCCUCUAUUCACCCGAUGAUGAGGAGGGAUUAGAAUAGGAAUCUGCCAUUUCUCAGGUGAGUGGCCUAUAUAGAGUUAUUUUUACUCUUUUACUGGCCCAGUUAAUAUUUAAAUAAUUGAACAAGUUCAACCAGAGAGAUUGAGGGAGCCCCACAUUAGAAUAUCCCAGAGUCUAGGGGUGAGGUUACUCAUCUGAGAAUUGGGAGACUUAUGUUCAAAUCCCUUCUCCUCAUCAAAUGGAGGGGAGAUGUCAACCAGGCAUCUUCCACAUCCUGCAUGAGUGCUUUAACCACUGGACUAAAGGUAGUAAGGAGGUUCAACUCUCUUUUCCCCUCAUGCCAGCCCCCAUCUGUUUCGUGUGGAGUUAGCCUUGAGCACACCUAUCAGAUCAGGGCCCACAUCUGAGUUAGGCAGAGGAGUGCCUAUCUUACCCCAGUUCAUGGAUCACUCUGGUGCUUAGGUGGGAGAUAGGGGCCUGGAUGCCUAGAGUGAGAGAACAGUGCACGUGCCUAAAGGCAGGAACUUAAGGCCCCAGGGAACUUGGACUGAAAAAUCUUAGGUGCAGACUGAGUUUAGGUGCCACAGAGUUAGGUGGAAGCUGAACUAAACUUUGCAGUGAUACCUAAAAUACAACUUACGUGCCUAAGUAUGGGUGUUACACAGCUAAGUACCUUUGUUCAGUGGUUCUCAACCAGGGGUAUGCAUACCCUGGGGGUCCACAGAGGGCUUCCAGGGGGUACAUCAACUCAUACAAUGACUUGUUUAUACUGCUCUAUAUACCGUACACUGAAAUGUAAGUCCAAUAUUUAUAUCCCAAUUGAUUUAUUUUAUUAUAUGGUAAAAAUGAGAAAGUAAGCAAUUUUUCAGUAAUAGUGUGCUGUGACACCUUUUUGUAUUUUCAUGUCUAAUUUUGUAAACAAGUCAUCUUUAAGUGUAACUUGGGGGUACACAAGUCAAAUCAGACUCCUGAGAGGGGUACAGUAGUCUGGAAUUGUUGAAAGCCACUGCCUUUGUGGAUCCAAGCCUGAGUCCUCCAUAUGUACGCUGUUGAACAGACUUUCAAAGGGGGGUUGAAUAUCCACAGUUCCACUGGAAGUCAAGGGACCUGUAGGUGUUCAGCAUUGCUGAAAAUCAGGUUAUUAGGGCGAUGAAUUGGACCUUUAAUAAGAUGCAGGAAUUGGUAGGAAGACCUUGCUUCCACUCAGUGUACCAGAAAGAGAUUGCCACUGGCUGGGGUAUGGAUUAAAUGUUCUAACAGAGCUCUCUUCCCGUCCAAAUAAUUCAGUGAAAGAGUAGGUGACUCUAUCCAGGGCAAUUCAUUUCUGGAAUCAAUGAGAAAUUGCAUUACACAUGAUGUGUGCAAAAUAAUUCUGUCAAAGAGAUGACUGCUAGCAUGGCCAAUUUACCAGAAACAAUCAUUGUUAGUUCUGUGCUCUGAUUAAUCCAGUGGCUUCAUGGCUAACUGUGCUGAGUAAUUUCUUGACAAAAUCAGGUGAAAAAAAUCAGAUCUCAGUAUUCCACAAGGGAGAAAUUGAUUAAACUGACAAAGUAAUUCUUAACAAUUUUACCAUCAGUUUGCUGAACUCAGUUGGCCUGAUUCUGAUCUCAGUUUGACCAUUUUAAAUUUGACUUCUUUGACGUCAGUGGAGUUACUCCUAAUUUACACAGAUGUAAAACAAAAUUAGGCCCAAUGUGUGCAUGUCCUUCACUUUACCACAAAGAGGUCUCCAACCAGGAAUCCUAUAGUCCUUAGUCAGUAGUAUUGUAGGCUCGUUGAUUUUGGUGACACAAUCUAGCAAUUUAUUUUUAGAUGAAGAGAGUAUAUGCAAGUGACAAUACUUACCUGACACUGUUUCACUAUUGCUAUUCAGGAACAAUUGUUUCUUUCUUAUACCUUGAUUCUGUUAUUGGCAAUGGCUGCUGCUGUUACUGCUUUAUUUAUUUUUAUGGUUGGGAAUCGACGGAUAGGGACAAAGGCACUGCUAAACUAACUUCUAUAUACAGUACCAGGAUUGCAACAAAUUGGGAGAAAGCUUGAAAGACUUUAAGAGAUCAGGCCACAAUAAUGAUUAAUAUAACUGAUUAUAUAUAAUGGAUGUAAUUGACCAAGAAAGAAAUAUUUUAUUUUAUGAAACCAUGUCAAAAUCAGUGUGUCAUUUUCCAGAAGUAUUAUAAAUCUGAGAAUAAGUAGAUGGAUUUCUUAGUAUUUGGCCUAUGCAGAAUUAUGAACAAUCCACAUUAAUGGGAGUAAUGUAUUUUUAAUAGGAUUUUGCUUUGCAUAACUACAUUAAGCAAAAUAUUGCAGACUGGUCUGGUUUAAAUUACCAUCUUCAAAUGUAAAACUGGCAUCUAAGAACAUAAGACAAUUACUCUAUUGUCUAGAGGGAAAAAACGUAACCACUGAAUGUUAUCAAAACUGAUUUGAGUGUAAUUAUUAGAAUGAUAGUGUGGAUUAUUAUAGUAUUGGUUACAAACAUCAAAAUGAAUCCACAGAUUAGUCAGAACAUCAAUCUGCCUUACUUGUAUCUAUCAGAAAUUUAAUGACUGCAGAGAUUUUGUUUUCAUGAUACAGCAAAAGUCAGGAGAUAUUGCUGGGUUUGGUGAACUCGGAACCUUUUUAUAGGAACAGGCUUCCAGCUGUUAAAUAUUGUGUUACCACUGCCUUAUAUGUAAGGAAGCUGAAUUAUUUUCUUUAACAUGGCUAUAUAUGAGCCCAUUACAAGAAUCUAGCCGGAACAAGGAGCAGACUCUUGAAAACAAAUCAAAACCUGUCUGAGGAAGAGAUUAAAAAUAGAUCUUCUGAAUUCACUAAUACGCAUUUCAAUUAAUAUCCUACUGUCAUAAAUAUAAAAGGAAGGGUAAACACCUUUAAAUCCCUCCUGGCCAGAGGAAAAACCCUUUCACCUGUAAAGAGUUAAGAAGCUAAGACAACCUUGCUGGCACCUGACCAAAAUGACCAAUGAGGAGACAAGAUACUUUCAAAGCUGGGGGGUGGGGGAGAACAAAGGGUUCUCGCUGUCUGUGUGUUGCUUUUGCUGGGACCAGAGCACGAAUGCAGCACACAACAGCAGCAGCACGAAUGGUACCAUUGCCAUGAAUGUUGCGUUGGAAACCCCAGUUGGUGAAGGAUUACAAGAAUUCUGCUCCCUAAGGACAACAUGUUCUUCUCUGAUCUGCACUGAGGACCCAAGGUAAGGAGCG